AUUGAACGCUGGCGGCAGGCCUAACACAUGCAAGUCGAGCGGAUGAAGGGAGCUUGCUCCUGGAUUCAGCGGCGGACGGGUGAGUAAUGCCUAGGAAUCUGCCUGGUAGUGGGGGAUAACGUCCGGAAACGGGCGCUAAUACCGCAUACGUCCUGAGGGAGAAAGUGGGGGAUCUUCGGACCUCACGCUAUCAGAUGAGCCUAGGUCGGAUUAGCUAGUUGGUGGGGUAAAGGCCUACCAAGGCGACGAUCCGUAACUGGUCUGAGAGGAUGAUCAGUCACACUGGAACUGAGACACGAUCCAGACUCCUACGGGAGGCAGCAGUGGGGAAUACUGGACAAUGGGCGAAAGCCUGAUCCAGCCAUGCCGCGUGUGUGAAGAAGGUCUUCGGAUUGUAAAGCACUUUAAGUUGGGAGGAAGGGCAGUAAGUUAAUACCUUGCUGUUUUGACGUUACCAACAGAAUAAGCACCGGCUAACUUCGUG
RNAcentral lists this ribosomal RNA (484 nucleotides) under uncultured bacterium. Its description in RNAcentral is "partial 16S ribosomal RNA". It matches the Rfam family "Bacterial small subunit ribosomal RNA", at positions 30 to 507 of the family's 1533-position model. The record is from RNAcentral.